CAGAUGAGAAGCUUGCUUCUCUGAUGUUAGCGGCGGACGGGUGAGUAACACGUGGGUAACCUACCUAUAAGACUGGGAUAACUCCGGGAAACCGGGGCUAAUACCGGAUAAUAUUUUGAACCGCAUGGUUCAAUAGUGAAAGACGGUUUCGGCUGUCACUUAUAGAUGGACCCGCGCCGUAUUAGCUAGUUGGUAAGGUAACGGCUUACCAAGGCGACGAUACGUAGCCGACCUGAGAGGGUGAUCGGCCACACUGGAACUGAGACACGGUCCAGACUCCUACGGGAGGCAGCAGUAGGGAAUCUUCCGCAAUGGGCGAAAGCCUGACGGAGCAACGCCGCGUGAGUGAUGAAGGUCUUCGGAUCGUAAAACUCUGUUGUUAGGGAAGAACAAAUUUGUUAGUAACUGAACAAGUCUUGACGGUACCUAACCAGAAAGCCACGGCUAACUACGUGCCAGCAGCCGCGGUAAUACGUAGGUGGCAAGCGUUAUCCGGAAUUAUUGGGCGUAAAGCGCGCGUAGGCGGUUUCUUAAGUCUGAUGUGAAAGCCCACGGCUCAACCGUGGAGGGUCAUUGGAAACUGGGAAACUUGAGUGCAGAAGAGGAGAGUGGAAUUCCAUGUGUAGCGGUGAAAUGCGCAGAGAUAUGGAGGAACACCAGUGGCGAAGGCGGCUCUCUGGUCUGUAACUGACGCUGAUGUGCGAAAGCGUGGGGAUCAAACAGGAUUAGAUACCCUGGUAGUCCACGCCGUAAACGAUGAGUGCUAAGUGUUAGGGGGUUUCCGCCCCUUAGUGCUGCAGCUAACGCAUUAAGCACUCCGCCUGGGGAGUACGACCGCAAGGUUGAAACUCAAAGGAAUUGACGGGGACCCGCACAAGCGGUGGAGCAUGUGGUUUAAUUCGAAGCAACGCGAAGAACCUUACCAAAUCUUGACAUCCUUUGACCGCUCUAGAGAUAGAGUCUUCCCCUUCGGGGGACAAAGUGACAGGUGGUGCAUGGUUGUCGUCAGCUCGUGUCGUGAGAUGUUGGGUUAAGUCCCGCAACGAGCGCAACCCUUAAGCUUAGUUGCCAUCAUUAAGUUGGGCACUCUAGGUUGACUGCCGGUGACAAACCGGAGGAAGGUGGGGAUGACGUCAAAUCAUCAUGCCCCUUAUGAUUUGGGCUACACACGUGCUACAAUGGAUAAUACAAAGGGCAGCGAAUCCGCGAGGCCAAGCAAAUCCCAUAAAAUUAUUCUCAGUUCGGAUUGUAGUCUGCAACUCGACUACAUGAAGCUGGAAUCGCUAGUAAUCGUAGAUCAGCAUGCUACGGUGAAUACGUUCCCGGGUCUUGUACACACCGCCCGUCACACCACGAGAGUUUGUAACACCCGAAGCCGGUGGAGUAACC
Molecule: ribosomal RNA, 1389 nt
Filed under: Mammaliicoccus sciuri
Lineage: Bacteria; Bacillati; Bacillota; Bacilli; Caryophanales; Staphylococcaceae
Description: bacterial SSU rRNA
Rfam family: Bacterial small subunit ribosomal RNA
Source: RNAcentral